CGAAUUGACAAUUUUUCUAAUGAGAAUCAAAAGUAAAUUAACUGUUAAUUGUUUUUCUAAAUUUAAUUGUGAUCUUUUUAUAUUCAUUUUACUUAAUUUCCAUUCUCUUUUGCAUUCUGAUUAACUUGUAAUUCAUGGAAAUUAACUAAACGAUUACCAUAUUAAUCAUCUUCUAAACUGAAGAUUAGUUUUCUGUUUGUUGUAUUAAUAUAAUUUUCUCUAUAUUUUGAUUACCCCUUUAAUCAGUGAUAUUAUUUUAUUUUUUUCUUCAUUUUCUACUAAUUCUUUGUGUAUACAAUAUUUAGAUUGUUGUUAAAUUGUUACCUCACGGCGUAACUAAUCAGCUCAUCACACACCCACAAAACAAAAGACAGUAAUAAUUAUAUCUACUACUUUUGCAACUACUUAAAGUAAACCACAACAAAUAACUUGAUUAGAGAGUUAAAUUAUCAUCUACCUUGGUGAAUUGUUGAACAAUUUAACUGUUAUCCAUUCAAAUGAUCAACUUAUUUUCAUCCUCAUCAUAAUUACUACAUCUUUUCAUGUUUCUUUCAAUCGACUGUACAAUUGAGAGUAAUAAUAUACUUCCAUCAAUUUCAUCAACAUUAUCAACAGAAAUAUAAUCAAAAUGGUUCUCCAACUAAAUUCCACUUUUCUUUCAAUGUAAAUCGUCAUUCUUAACCUGAUAACUAACGGUAAUAAUUAACUAAUCAUCUUUAAUCAGCGUCUCACUUAAUUAGCCUUUGAUAUUCAUCGUUAUUCAUUAAAUUAUCGGACCAAAGGUUUACAGUUAAUUACUUACAGUUUGGAAACGGACACCUCGUCGGUAACCAUAUUGUGGUCUGGAUCGAGAUCGAUAUGUUAAGGAACUUGAUCUUCGGCCUGGUGAAGGUGGAUAACGAUUAUCAUAAUAAGCUCCUUGAGCUUCAAUUUCAUUCACAAUUAAACCUGUUGGAAAAGACAAUGACAAUUAGUUAAUUUCUACAACAAUUAAGAGUAAAUCUUUUAACCUAAUACUCUGGUAACCCUUUAACCUGUCAACGAUAUGAACUACUUUGGAUAUUAAUCACGAUCAAUAUAAUGACGAUUUUUUAAUUAAUCUGAUGAAAUAAUUAAUCUAUCAAAUUUUAAUCUGAUUGUUUAUGAGAAAAUUGAAACAAUUGAUAGAUUUGAUUACUCACCUAAAAUAAUAAGGAAUCCAAAUGUAAUUAUCCUCAUGGUUAUGGAAAAUAAGCUCGAUAUGAACAAUUAAAAUUGAACGAAUUGAUUAUUGAUGGAUUAUGGCGAUGAUUAAGAUAAUCACAAUUAAUAUUCCGUUUAACAAUUAACAGUAAUUAUCAUUUACCUUGAUUCUAAUAGAUGAUGAUUGUCAUUGGAUUAAUCAAGAUGAUUAUUGAUUCUCUCUCUCUCUCGUCAUCAUUGGAGUUUAGAACUUUAAUUAUAAUGGGUUGAAAUAAUUCGAAGGUCCAUUUGGUGGCGAUCUGAUUAAUCCAAUUAGAGAAAACAAUGUUUCCUCCAAUGAUGUUGAUGAUCUCACAAUCUAAAUCUAAAUAUUACAAUUUAUUAAUUUUCCACGAAUUCACUGAAAUUAACUGAUUGUAUUUGCUAACAAUGAUUAUCUUGUAUUGUUGCAGUUAAGUACAACUAUCAUCAUAAUCGUCAUCAUCAUCAUCACAACAUCAUCUUCAUCAUGGUCAAUUAUUAUCAACAAUUAAUUUCACUUAUCAUCAUCAUCAUUUCAAUGGCCGUGAGAUAUUUCAUCAUCAAUUAACUGUAACAAUAACAACAACAAUCUGAUUACAACAAUUUGACUGAUUUACUUAUUUGUCACAAUCUAUUCCUGGACAGAAUGAUUAACUUAAUUACAAUCUAACAACAUCCUUACGUGUGUUUGUUUAGUGUCAAAAAUUAGUUACAAUUAGUUUUAAUUGGAGUCACUGUUAAAUUAAUCAUUCUGUUAAUAUCUCAUCAACUUUUACUUUUAAUUUACCAGAAAAUUGUUAAUCACUUUUGAUGAUGAUGAUAAAACUCAUCUCUUUCCUUACCUAAUUAUUUGUAUUAUAAUUAACUAAUUUUGAUGAAUAUUA
Molecule: long non-coding RNA, 2087 nt
Organism: Panonychus citri (citrus red mite)
Lineage: Eukaryota; Metazoa; Arthropoda; Arachnida; Trombidiformes; Tetranychidae
Exons: 4
Source: RefSeq, a predicted model, not a curated record